UUUGCGCCCGCGUUAGGGAUGGAAGCGAAAAUCCUUUUUAAAUUUGUAAUCCUAGCAUUUGAAAUUAAAAGAAGAAUAUCCGGCAGAGGUUUAGGCAUCUGGGGCGAAAAGACUUUUACAAAUUUAAAAAGAUUGCAGCGGACAGCCCGGCCGCAG
Molecule: small RNA, 156 nt
Filed under: Flavobacterium noncentrifugens
Lineage: Bacteria; Pseudomonadati; Bacteroidota; Flavobacteriia; Flavobacteriales; Flavobacteriaceae
Description: Flavo-1 RNA
Rfam family: Flavo-1 RNA
Source: Rfam by way of RNAcentral